Molecule: ribosomal RNA, 774 nt
Filed under: uncultured Neocallimastigales
Lineage: Eukaryota; Fungi; Neocallimastigomycota; Neocallimastigomycetes; Neocallimastigales
Description: partial large subunit ribosomal RNA
Rfam family: Eukaryotic large subunit ribosomal RNA
Source: RNAcentral
GAGAGAGACAUGCGCGCAUAUCAAUAAGCGGAGGAAAAGAAACUAACAAGGAUUCCCCUAGUAACGGCGAGUGAAGCGGGAAGAGCUCAAAUUUGAAAUCUUAAAGGGUUUCCCUUUACGAAUUGUAGUUUAAAGAAGUGUUUUCUGUUGAGGUUUUGGUAAAAGUUCUUUGGAAUAGGACAUCAUAGAGGGUGAGAAUCCCGUAUUUGACCUUUACUUUCAACUUUGUGAUACACUUUCAAAGAGUCGGAUUGUUUGGGAAUGCAGUCCAAAAUGGGUGGUAAAUUUCAUCUAAAGCUAAAUAUUGGCGAGAGACCGAUAGCGAACAAGUACCGUGAGGGAAAGAUGAAAAGAACUUUGAAAAGAGAGUUAAACAGUACGUGAAAUUGUCAAAAGGGAAGCGUUUGACACCAGUGUUGUUUUUCUGAAAAUCAAUUAAAGAACUGUUUAUGCUAAGCUGUUUAGACUUUAUCAGCUAAUCUGUUUAGUUUUGAGCUUUUCUUUAAUGCACUUUUCAGUUAACAAGUCAACAUCAAUUUCUUUUGCUGUAAAAAAGCUUGAGGAAGGUGGCUUGAGAUUCGUCUUAAGUGUUUAUAGCCUCUUGCCUAUGCAGUCGGAGAGAUUGAGGUCUGCAGCGUAGAUCCUUCGGGGCUAAAUGCAUUUGUGCUAAGUUAUAGCAUUUUAUAGACAACUUGUUGACUAUGAUUUGUCUUGUAGCUUACUCGCUUAUGUUAUUUUACCUACGCUUAGGAUGUUGAUGUGAUACUGCGAGCA